AACGAACGCUGGCGGCAUGCCUAACACAUGCAAGUCGAACGAGACCUUCGGGUCUAGUGGCGCACGGGUGCGUAACGCGUGGGAACAUGCCCUUAGGUUCGGAAUAACUCCCCGAAAGGGGUGCUAAUACCGGAUAAUGUCUUCGGACCAAAGCUUUAUCGCCUUUGGAUGGGCCGGCGUUGGAUUAGCUAGUUGGUAGGGUAAAAGCCUACCAAGGCGACGAUCCAUAGCUGGUCUGAGAGGCUGAUCAGCCACACUGGGACUGAGGCACGGCCCAGACUGCGACGGGAGGCAGCAGUGGGGAAUAUUGGACAAGGGGCGAAAGCCUGAUCCAGCAAUGCCGCGUGAGUGAUGCAGGUCUUAGGGUUGUAAAGCUCUUUUACCCGGGAUGAUAAUGACAGUACCGGGAGAAUAAGCACCGGCUAACUCCGUG
Molecule: ribosomal RNA, 433 nt
Filed under: uncultured bacterium
Lineage: Bacteria
Description: partial 16S ribosomal RNA
Rfam family: Bacterial small subunit ribosomal RNA
Source: RNAcentral